UCAAUGGAGAGUUUGAUCCUGGCUCAGGACGAACGCUGGCGGCGUGCUUAACACAUGCAAGUCGAACGGUAAGGCCCUUUCGGGGGUACACGAGUGGCGAACGGGUGAGUAACACGUGAGUAACCUGCCCUUGACUCUGGGAUAACAUCUGGAAACAGUUGCUAAUACUGGAUAUGAGCUGCCCUGGCAUCGGGGUGGUUGGAAAGUUUUUCGGUCAAGGAUGGACUCGCGGCCUAUCAGCUUGUUGGUGAGGUAGUGGCUCACCAAGGCUUCGACGGGUAGCCGGCCUGAGAGGGCGACCGGCCACAUUGGGACUGAGAUACGGCCCAAACUCCUACGGGAGGCAGCAGUGGGGAAUAUUGCACAAUGGGCGGAAGCCUGAUGCAGCAACGCCGCGUGCGGGAUGACGGCCUUCGGGUUGUAAACCGCUUUCAUCCAUGACGAAGCUUUUGUGACGGUAGUGGAAGAAGAAGCACCGGCUAACUACGUGCCAGCAGCCGCGGUGAUACGUAGGGUGCGAGCGUUGUCCGGAUUUAUUGGGCGUAAAGAGCUUGUAGGCGGUUUGUUGCGUCGGGAGUGAAAACUCAGGGCUUAACCCUGAGCCUGCUUCCGAUACGGGCAGACUUGAGGAAGGUAGGGGAGAUUGGAAUUCCUGGUGAAGCGGUGGAAUGCGUAGAUAUCAGGAGGAACACCAGUGGCGAAGGCGGAUCUCUGGACCUUUCCUGACGCUGAGAAGCGAAAGCGUGGGGAGCAAACAGGCUUAGAUACCCUGGUAGUCCACGCCGUAAACGGUGGGUACUAGGUGUGGGGGACAUUCCACGUUCUCCGUGCCGCAGCUAACGCAUUAAGUACCCCGCCUGGGGAGUACGGCCGCAAGGCUAAAACUCAAAGGAAUUGACGGGGCCCCGCACAAGCGGCGGAGCAUGCGGAUUAAUUCGAUGCAACGCGAAGAACCUUACCUGGGUUUGACAUAUGCCGGAAACAUCUAG
Molecule: ribosomal RNA, 989 nt
Organism: Tessaracoccus bendigoensis DSM 12906
Lineage: Bacteria; Bacillati; Actinomycetota; Actinomycetes; Propionibacteriales; Propionibacteriaceae
Rfam family: Bacterial small subunit ribosomal RNA
Source: Rfam